UGCAAGUCGAACGAGAACGGAUUAUAGCUUGCUAUAAUUGUCAGCUAAGUGGCGCACGGGUGAGUAAUGUAUAGGUAAUAUGCCUCUUACUAAGGGAUAACAAAUGGAAACGUUUGCUAAUACCUUAUACUCCUUAUUAACAGAAGUUAAUAAGGGAAAGAUUUAUUGGUAAGAGAUUAGCCUGUAUUGUAUCAGUUAGUUGGUGGGGUAAUGGCUUACCAAGACUAUGACACAUAACUGGUUUGAGAGGAUGAUCAGUCACACUGGAACUGAGACACGGUCCAGACUCCUACGGGAGGCAGCAGUGGGGAAUAUUGCACAAUGGACGAAAGUCUGAUGCAGCAACGCCGCGUGGAGGAUGACACAUUUCGGUGCGUAAACUCCUUUUAUAUGAGAAGAUAAUGACGGUAUUAUAUGAGUAAGCACCGGCUAACUCCGUGCCAGCAGCCGCGGUAAUACGGGGGGUGCAAGCGUUACUCGGAAUCACUGGGCGUAAAGAGCAUGUAGGCGGAUUAAUAAGUUUGAAGUGAAAUCCUAUAGCUUAACUAUAGAACUGCUUUGAAAACUGUUAAUCUAGAAUGUGGGAGAGGUAGAUGGAAUUUCUGGUGUAGGGGUAAAAUCCGUAGAGAUCAGAAGGAAUACCGAUUGCGAAGGCGAUCUACUGGAACAUUAUUGACGCUGAGAUGCGAAAGCGUGGGGA
RNAcentral lists this ribosomal RNA (700 nucleotides) under uncultured Campylobacterota bacterium. RNAcentral's name for it is "bacterial SSU rRNA". It matches the Rfam family "Bacterial small subunit ribosomal RNA", at positions 56 to 767 of the family's 1533-position model. Lineage: Bacteria; Pseudomonadati; Campylobacterota. The record is from RNAcentral.